Molecule: long non-coding RNA, 1666 nt
Organism: Hypomesus transpacificus
Lineage: Eukaryota; Metazoa; Chordata; Actinopteri; Osmeriformes; Osmeridae
Exons: 9
Source: RefSeq, a predicted model, not a curated record
AGGCCGAGCACCUCCAUGGCAACGAUAAGUGUUUGGUGGCCUGGUUGUUGUAGGCCUAGAUGUUGCUUGGCUUUGCUGGUUCUUCUUUGAUCUUUUUGUUUGGCUUUUGCUUCCAAGAUGACCGUCUUUUAAGAGCCCCUUUUUCCUUUCAGCCCGUAUGUGCUUUGCUGCGAUUCUCAACCUCAGCCUGAUGUAUCUGUUGGUGAGUUUUUUUUGUACAUCAUGACAUGAGGGAAGCCUGCCGUCGAUCAUCAUAGCUUCCUUCUCCAGCACAUCCAUGGCAUUUUGGAGAUCCAUGAGGGAGGCACUGGUCCUGGUUCGGAACAGCUCCUCAAUUUGCCGGACUAGGUCAAAGGCCUCUUGCGACGGCCGACAAAGCGCACCAGGUUUGAAUUCCUUCAGCUUCAGUAAAGUACUGUGCUCUCCUUCAGAUGGUAGAGAGCACAGGUCUCUGUUGUUGUGAGGUCAGGUGCAGGACUGCGCUCCAUCAGCUCCUCCACUCGCAGGGCAGGACUGGAAAUUGACUUCAGUGCUUGGUGAAACUCCACAGCAGUUGGGACUGGAUUCCUCUGUCGGAUGCAAUAGGUUUUCCAGACAGUCUUGGGCUUCCAGCUACUCGGCUGUCCAAUCUUCAGCCCACGGAACAGUUGGAUCGUGUCCUCGAGGAACUUGAUGGCCUUUUGGUACUCCUCCAUCUUAUGCCUGCUCAGUGCCAUUACUGGGUGGCGAGAAGACAUGAGGUCGAACCAGUGGUCUACCUGCUCUAGGAGCCAUGCUGUUGUCCGGUAAGAGUGGACCGACUGAAGCUUCAUUGGAGGGAAGGUUCUCCCUCUCAACCGUAUCCGGUGGAAUUGUGAACGUCUGUCCGCGGACCAGGGCACUCUUCAAGUUCUUCACCAGGUGUGGGACAUCUGGCAUGAAGUGUAGCCUCCUGUCUGGUCUUGUUGGAUGUGGGACAGACGUUUUGUUGUGGUCCACACCAAAGGCCUUCCACAUUGCCCGAUUAGGACUGCCCAUGUCAGUGGUGACGUUAAUCACAUGUAGCCCGAUGGAAUCUGCUCUGUGAAUAAUGUCCAAGACAAUAGGUAACGUCACAUCCCCAUACAGCUUCCCUGUUCCCAGGUGCAGCUCCACGCUUGGAGUGAUUGACAUCUCAUCCACAGGUUCUGAUGUCAGGGAGAGGAAUCGACAUGUCCUGUAGAAGUUUGUAGCCGGUUGAGCCAGUAGCAAAACUCUUUAUCACUGUACCCUGGCUCACUUGGACACUGGGCACAGGAUCCUGGCUCACUGGGCACUGGAACCUGGCUCACUGGGGCACUGGAACCUGGCUCACUUGGACACUGGGCACUGGCUACUGGCUCACUGGGGCACUGGACUGGCUCACUGGCUGCUGGACCCUUCCUCCUCUUGGGCUCAGGACGAUGCAGAAAUAUGCUGGGAACAGCAUCAGCCUUCAAUUUCAGUUGGCCUUUUUUUGUUUUUGUGAAUUGGUCUCCCUCAAAAUGUGCCUGCGAUGAUAUUGGCACAAUGGCGUGAGUUUAAUUUCCACAUGCAUUACAAACUCAUAAUAGUCAAUCCCAAUUUCAUUAUAUACAUAUUACAGUAAACACAUUGGUCCUUGAUCCAAAGUGAAAUGUAUAAAGACAACUUAAACUCACACCACACA